Long non-coding RNA from Triticum urartu, 3382 nucleotides. RefSeq lists it as uncharacterized. The record is from RefSeq and is a predicted model, not a curated record. Lineage: Eukaryota; Viridiplantae; Streptophyta; Magnoliopsida; Poales; Poaceae.
UUAAAGUGCAAGUAGAUAAAGAGGUGGUGUAGCCACCAUAGUGUCACAUUAGGAGAAUAUAGCUUCUGAAAUAACUGAUGGAAAUAUUAAUGCAGGUGAUUUUCGAGAUGCUCUCACUCAAUAAUGUUUGCAGCUUCACGUUGUCUGAGAGUGAACAUGUUUGGAGCAGAUCCUUAAUAGAGGCAUGUCGUCUUUAUUUUGGAUGGAUACUACCACGAAAUAUCAUCAAUAGAAUGGUUUUAGACUCUCCACCACAUGCAUAUAUUCUAAAUGCAUACAUGAAGCAAUCUCCUGCUUAGAUCCAUGAGACCAAAAUCUCGACUCUCAAGAAUGAACUUUUGGUGUGAUCAGAAAAAUCUUUACUGGUUCAUGGACAACAGGGAAAACCCAGAAGUUGAAGGAUUUCUGCUAGUUUUGCUUACUAGUAUGGUUCUUGCUGUUUGAUAAAUACUGCAUACUCAUCAGCUUAUAUAGCAAAUUUCUUUGCGACCAAAGAGAUGAAGUUUUCACCAAGAAAAAACAUGUUUGAACAUAUAUGAUAAAUUAGAAUGUUCCUUCCAAAGUUCAAACUUGUCAUCUGUCUCCAGCAUUCUUGCUAGCUUGCAAGAUACAGGGCAGCAAAGACUGCAUGUUACAAGGAUAGGGCUAGGUAUUUUCAAAGUUUUAAAUAGCGAGCUAUGGCAAAUAGCGGCAGCCUGAAAAUAAAUUAAAUUGGCGCUAUAGCGCCACAAAAUUGUACAGGAUGCCGUUUAGCAUGAUGCCCCUCCGCUAUAGCACUCUAUUUAAAACUUCUUUAUUUUGUUGAUUGUACUCUGCUACUCUAAGAAAACAUUGCUUGGUAGAGACCAAAGUUAUUAGGCCAAUAAAUAGGUCUUAUGUCGGUAAUCAGAUGAUCUUUCCUGAUCCGUGUGCCAUUUGCUAAAAUUUUGCCUAUUUUUUAACAGCCACUGUAAUCUUUAAUCUGCAACAGAAAGUGUAUAUGUCAUGUCCCAUGCUUGACUAGGCUAUGAUGAUGAUCAAAUUUAUGUUCUAUGAUUUAAUCACUCUUGUAUAAUGCAAAGAUCUGUGUGCGCACGCACGGAUGCUCAGGUAUGGUUUGAUUCUUUUUGUACCUGUCUUUUGGCAGGAUUACGAAACCUGAGCAUUUCAGCACCAGAAAACAAGAAGAGACAGAUUCUGCAAAGCUUGUGAUCUCAUGCUGCAUGGCAUCAGAUUCCUCAUGGCCUGUCCGCGUAUGGAACGAUGUCGGGUUUAGAGUUUGCAUGGAGUGAUGCCAUCAGUGAGCCUAACGUGAACGGAUUAAUGAUGGAUCGCGGAAUCUUCACUGGCCAACUGUCUAUAGACACGUUAGAUAAUGGUGUGACAUCCUAUUCCUUCCAAAAGCAUCACCAGGAAUAAUUUGCGAUUAAUUUCUUUAAAUUUAGCACUGCUUUACUUUUAACCAUAUGCCAUGAUUUCUGUACGUUGAAAAAGUAUCAUAUUUACCAUGAAUUGUAGAUGCCCUUAUACUUUUCUGCAACCAAAAGAAUGAUACUUGAAAUUAGGGAAUGCUGCACGAAUAAACAAAAUGUAAAUGGAUUGCUGUUUAUUGUAGUAUAUACUUUAACAGUAUCAUUGAUUUUACUUCUACAAAUGGUUAUAAUCACUUCUGGUUUCCUAUUUGCGGGGUACUAGAUUGAGCUGGUUUUGGCAUUUAAUUUUUACCUACUACUCACAGUAGAGGCUAACUUGUAUUGAAAUGUUUUACCUGCAUUAUUGUUACAAAAUAUUUGCAAUUUAUUGGUUUUUAUUUCUGUUAUGGAAGCUGUAUAUUUAAAUGACGCAGUUUUGUACAGCUCAAUUUCAUAUUUGCUUCUGUUACGAAUGCAGGCUAAAUAUGUGUUCAAACAAUUAUUGACCAAGAUUCAUAUCCUUUCUGUCAAUCCCAAAAAUAGGUUUAUCAAAGAACUUGAUUAAUCACCAAAGCCAAUAUUGCUACAAUAAUAGAGGAGCAGCAAAACUUGCCAACUAUUCCUGUGACCAAUAUUACUGCCUUGCCGCUUACUCCACUGCCUCUAGUCACCAUUACCACAUGGUUGUCACCUCCUAACACUUGUUGCACAAUAUGGCCGCAUGCAUCUUUGUGAUGCAUAGGCCGGAGGCAAUCCUCCUUUUCUAAAAAAAACAUCUGUUGCACAAAUUUAUGCUGGUUUAGUAACAGAGCCCUCAGAAGGACAUAAAUGACACUAGUGAUUUCUUACGACCUCCAAGACAGUACUCUUACUUACUACUUCUAUAACUAUAUAUUAGUUCAUACUCCCUCUGUUCCUAUAUAUUUGUCUUUUUAGAGAUUUCAAAUGGACUAUCACAUACGGAUGUAUAUAGACAUAUUUUAGAGUGUAGAUUCACUCAUUUUGCUCCGUAUGUAGUUGUUGAAAUCUCUAGAAAGACAAAUAUUCAGGAACGGAGGGAGUAUAAGGUAAAACUAUAGUGCCGAAAUAAUUUUCAGUCAUUGUUCAAUGUUGACACUUUAGACAUUUUCUAGUCGAAAUUGUGUGUAUUUGACCAGAGGAUUCUAAGUGUUAAUACAGAAGGACAAAGGUUGUACAUGGUGUUCCAUCUUUGCAGACAUUUAUGCAGUUUCCAGUUUUACUUUGGUCGGCAGAUGGCCUUUACGGAUUUGGAAGGAAGUCGGGAGGUGUAUAAUGCACUAAUUGUGUUGUUCGAUAUCGAAUCAAAGGCACGGACAAUAUCUAAGCGAAUAACAUGAGGUCUUUACUGAGGAACUUUAGCUAGGGUAGCACCUAGCUGAUGCUUGUGUGGUCCACGAGCAUGAUAGCAUUGACGGAGACUUGGCCUGAUUUAUUCCACAACUAGCGCCGGAACUUGCCGCCGCGCCCGUGGAAUUGCCCGUUUGGAUUUUUUGUUUACUUGCAGGGCAACUUGUGGGGUUGAUGGCUACUGGAACUGAAGGUUACCCAGGAAUUGCCUGCCCUGCGUCUUACUGCAAAUUAUUGGAAGAUCAUAUUCUUAUCGAGAAUGAAAGCAUUAUUCCUCCAGCGUCGACGGUAGGAAUGCAAGAGGGGGUAUGAGAGACGUGAAGGUUUUGUGAGGACCCGAUUUAUUUUGUCCAGUGGCAUGCAAGAGGGAGUGGACACGGCCCAAGUUUCAUAUCAAAUGUGUGUUUCCUGUUCUGGUUGAAUUAUUCGGUGUGACUAUUUUCGCUUAUCCGGUUAGGCUUGAGCAUUUUGGGCCAGUAACAUGUUGCUUUCAGUUUUGAAGCUGGGUAAGCUCAUAUAAAAUGCAUAAUCUUCCCUAUUUUCUAAUCAAGCCGAAUUUUUUAGACCGCUUUGCUUGGUGCUAGACAUCUCAAAUCAUUUGUCCCGAACUUAUUAUAUACUUC